UAAUUGAAGAGUUUGAUCAUGGCUCAGAUUGAACGCUGGCGGCAGGCCUAACACAUGCAAGUCGAGCGGCAGCACAGAGGAACUUGUUCCUUGGGUGGCGAGCGGCGGACGGGUGAGUAAUGCCUGGGAAAUUGCCCGGUAGAGGGGGAUAACCAUUGGAAACGAUGGCUAAUACCGCAUAACCUCGCAAGAGCAAAGCAGGGGACCUUCGGGCCUUGCGCUAUCGGAUAUGCCCAGGUGGGAUUAGCUAGUUGGUGAGGUAAGGGCUCACCAAGGCGACGAUCCCUAGCUGGUCUGAGAGGAUGAUCAGCCACACUGGAACUGAGACACGGUCCAGACUCCUACGGGAGGCAGCAGUGGGGAAUAUUGCACAAUGGGCGCAAGCCUGAUGCAGCCAUGCCGCGUGUAUGAAGAAGGCCUUCGGGUUGUAAAGUACUUUCAGUAGGGAGGAAGGUGGUUAAGCUAAUACCUUAACCAUUUGACGUUACCUACAGAAGAAGCACCGGCUAACUCCGUGCCAGCAGCCGCGGUAAUACGGAGGGUG
This 544-nucleotide ribosomal RNA is filed under the name Vibrio cholerae. Its description in RNAcentral is "bacterial SSU rRNA". It matches the Rfam family "Bacterial small subunit ribosomal RNA", at positions 1 to 534 of the family's 1533-position model. Lineage: Bacteria; Pseudomonadati; Pseudomonadota; Gammaproteobacteria; Vibrionales; Vibrionaceae. The record is from RNAcentral.